This is a long non-coding RNA of Physella acuta, 512 nucleotides long. RefSeq lists it as uncharacterized. The record is from RefSeq and is a predicted model, not a curated record. Lineage: Eukaryota; Metazoa; Mollusca; Gastropoda; Physidae.
CCAAAGUUAAUUGCUUUUAUGAGGCAGAUACACUACCAGCAUCUCGUAAACUGGUGUGACACAAAGGUUAGUGAAAGACAAUCAAGAUGCGAUCAGUGUACUUUGUGGUGAUGCUGUUGUCGGUGUUUCUUGUUCUGCCAAUCGAACAGACCUUCGCUUUUAAAUUUUAUAAGAGGGAGUGUAGAAAAGAUGCACGCUGUGUGAGAACUAAAGAUUGCCGCGGCUACAUCAACAACACUUACAGGGUAAUAUGUCUCAAGGGAUGCUGUAGCUAUUAUUAUUGACCGGGCGCCAUCCAAAACUGACUUUGACCUUCACGCAGAUGGAUUUGGAUUUUUUUAAAGCAUGUGUUUGCUUUAUAAUCUAUUCAAGUUUUUAAAAAUAAAUUCUAAUUAAAAUUGAAAAAGGAAACUGUUUUUGUUUUUGAAGUUCAUGUUAGUGUACAUUUUAAAAAUAAAUCCUAAUUAAAAUUGAAAAAGAAAACUUUUUUUGUUUUUGAAGUUCAUGUUUGU